Molecule: ribosomal RNA, 253 nt
Filed under: uncultured bacterium
Lineage: Bacteria
Description: partial 16S ribosomal RNA
Rfam family: Bacterial small subunit ribosomal RNA
Source: RNAcentral
UACGUAGGGGGCUAGCGUUGUCCGGAAUCAUUGGGCGUAAAGCGCGUGUAGGCGGUCCGGUAAGUCCGCUGUGAAAGUCGGGGGCUCAACCCUCGAAUGCCGGUGGAUACUGUCGGGCUAGAGUACGGAAGAGGCGAGUGGAAUUCCUGGUGUAGCGGUGAAAUGCGCAGAUAUCAGGAGGAACACCAAUGGCGAAGGCAGCUCGCUGGGACGGUACUGACGCUGAGGCGCGAAAGCGUGGGGAGCAAACAGG